Long non-coding RNA from Homo sapiens (human), 545 nucleotides. The record is from Ensembl. NCBI's taxonomy places the organism in Eukaryota, Metazoa, Chordata, Mammalia, Primates, Hominidae.
CUCUACUGUGCUAGCUAAUGCAAAGCUACCUUUGCAUAUGUAAGGUCUAGCAGGGGAGAACCAGGAGGUAGGCAGCAGAAGAUCCUUUAUAAAAGACCAAGCCUGAAAUCUGAAAAUCCCUGAAAUUCCUUAGAAAUUGAUCAUCUUAACUCUUUCUUUGCCAAGCCCGCAUUUCCUGAUUUAUAUCCUUGUUACAGCUGAAAGAAGCUCAUCAUGUAAAGGUUUAUAGCACCACCAUUUUCCUCAGAGGAUUUUACAUAUGCAACCUAUGGAUGGAUUUUUAUAAGAACUAUACCUUGGACUUCUUGCAUGAAGUUAGGAAGGUUAUCUUCAGAGGCUCCAAGUUUUAAUGCAUUCCAGUGUUGUCAAAUCCAAAAGCAAUUAAAUACUGUUGUGUGGUUUUGAAUUAUAGCCUGCUUGUUAAAAUAGCUACUGUUUCCCCUAAGGACAGCCUGCAUUUUUACCUGAUGUCAUCUGACUCUGGGUCUCAAGAGAGUGGGGAACCUAAUAGAACAACUGAAUAAAUGUAGUUCUAAGACAGUGAA